UCGGCUGUGGUCAGUGUCAAUU
This 22-nucleotide microRNA is filed under the name Drosophila virilis. Its description in RNAcentral is "dvi-miR-313-5p". Its record names the gene dvi-miR-313-5p. The record is from miRBase by way of RNAcentral. Lineage: Eukaryota; Metazoa; Arthropoda; Insecta; Diptera; Drosophilidae.